GACGAACGCUGGCGGCGUGCUUAACACAUGCAAGUCGAACGGAAAGGCCCUGCUUUUGUGGGGUGCUCGAGUGGCGAACGGGUGAGUAACACGUGAGUAACCUGCCCUUGACUUUGGGAUAACUUCAGGAAACUGGGGCUAAUACCGGAUAGGAGCGCCUGCUGCAUGGUGGGGGUUGGAAAGUGUCGGCGGUUGGGGAUGGACUCGCGGCUUAUCAGCUUGUUGGUGGGGUAGUGGCUGACCAAGGCUUUGACGGGUAGCCGGCCUGAGAGGGUGACCGGCCACAUUGGGACUGAGAUACGGCCCAGACGCCUACGGGAGGCAGCAGUGGGGAAUAUUGCACCAUGGGCGGAAGCCGGAUGCAGCAACGCCGCGGGCGGGAUGACGGCCUUCGGGUUGUAAACCGCUUUCGCCUGUGAAGAAGCGGGAGUGACGGUAACGGGUAAAGAAGCACCGGCUAACUACGUG
Molecule: ribosomal RNA, 468 nt
Filed under: uncultured bacterium
Lineage: Bacteria
Description: partial 16S ribosomal RNA
Rfam family: Bacterial small subunit ribosomal RNA
Source: RNAcentral